Molecule: ribosomal RNA, 301 nt
Filed under: uncultured bacterium
Lineage: Bacteria
Description: partial 16S ribosomal RNA
Rfam family: Bacterial small subunit ribosomal RNA
Source: RNAcentral
CAGUCGCCGCGGUAAGACAGAGGAUGCAAGCGUUAUCCGGAAUGAUUGGGCGUAAAGCGUGCGCAGGCGGUUGUGUAAGACAGGUGUGAAAUCCCCGGGCUUAGCCUGGGAACUGCGCUUGUGACUGCACAGCUAGAGUAUGGCAGAGGGGGGUGGAAUUCCAUGUGUAGCAGUGAAAUGCGUAGAGAUGUGGAGGAACACCGAUGGCGAAGGCAGCCCCCUGGGCCAAUACUGACGCUCAUGCACGAAAGCGUGGGGAGCAAACAGGAUUAGAUACCCCAGUAGUCCCUGUCUCUUAUAU